Long non-coding RNA from Impatiens glandulifera, 1431 nucleotides. RefSeq lists it as uncharacterized. The record is from RefSeq and is a predicted model, not a curated record. The transcript is spliced from 3 exons. Lineage: Eukaryota; Viridiplantae; Streptophyta; Magnoliopsida; Ericales; Balsaminaceae.
CCAUUAGGUAAUGGGUGCAGCCAGAUCCAAAAUCUCUCCAUUCUAAUCCAGACCACAAUUUUCAUUAUUCUCACCGGAUCUCCUAACCAAAGAUCCGAUUUCUGAUUUCUGAUCUCCGAUCUGACGGAGAAACCCUGACACUCCGAUGGCGGGAGCCGCCUAGGCCCUAUUCCUUCUCGAUAUCAAAGGUAGUGUUCUCGUUUGGCUCGACUACCGUGGAGACGUCUUUGCCGUUCAAGCCGAACGCUUCUUCACCAAGCUAAUCGAGAAAGAGGGCGAUCCGAAAUAACAAGAUCCAGUUGUACAUGACAAUGGAGUUACCUAUUUGUUUAUUCGGCAUAAUAAUAUUUAUUUGAUGACGGCUUCUAGACAGAACUGCAACGCUGCAAGCCUUAUCUUCUUUCUUCAUCAUGUAGUUGAUCUAAGGACUAGUGAUCCUCGUUUUAUCUUUUUCUUUCUUGCUUGUUUUGAAUUCAGAUUGGUUUUGUGGUUUAUUUGGACAGGUUUUUAAGCAAUAUUUUGAAGAGCUGGAGGAAGAAUCACGGAGAGAUAACUUUGUUGUUGUGUAUGAAUUGCUUGAUGAGAUGAUGGACUUUGGUUACCUUCAGUAUACAUAAGCAAAGAUUCUCAGUGAAUUUUUUAAGAUUGAUGCUUACAGGAUGGAAGUUGGUCAGAGGCCACCCAUGCCUGUGACAAAUGUUGUAUCUUGGCGUAGCGAGGGCAUACAAUAUAAGAAAAAUGAAGUAAGCCAUGUUCUUUUAAAAGCACACACUUAUGAUGACAUUUUGUGAGAUUUUGUUAUGAAUCUUUGCUAUUUUUAGGUCUUCUGAGUGUUAAUAUACUUGUCAACAUCCAUGGCCAAAUUAUUAGGUCAGAUGUUAUUGGGGAAUUAACUAUGAGAACUUAUUUAAGGUGCAUUUUCUCCCUCAUUCAGUUAUUUAAUUAUAAUGUUUAAACAUGCAUACUAAAAUGAUGUCUGAGCUCUUUCCUAUCUUGUACACUUACACAUCAAAGCUGUAUGCAUGAUUGGACUUUAUAUCUCUUAGAUUCUUUGUAUAUUUUAUAACAUAAAGAAAGGCAAUUCCGAGAGGUUGCAGUUGCAAUAAAGUUACAGAAGAGAGUUGAAAAUAUAUAUGGUGUUCUGGUAUUUCAGUUUCUAGAAUGUACACAACUUAUAGCUAGAUGCUCUAAAACUAUAAAACCAGAUCAGGGUAAUAACAGGUGAGUCGAACUUUUCCUCCUCAUUUUUCUAUAGGAUAUUCAUCACAUAACUUCUGCACAUAUCACCCUCUUUGAUACAAGCUCCUAUUGGUUAUCGAUUAUGGCAUCAAAUUUAGGAAGAAGCAGCUAAAGGAAAGGUAAUUUUUGUUCUGUUGAAAAUUUCCCCCGCUUUAUUGAUAAGUUAUUCUUAUAUUAAUUUGUUUCUUUCUU